Molecule: ribosomal RNA, 363 nt
Filed under: uncultured eukaryote
Lineage: Eukaryota
Description: partial 18S ribosomal RNA
Rfam family: Eukaryotic small subunit ribosomal RNA
Source: RNAcentral
CAAUAGCGUAUACUAAUGUUGUUGCAGUUAAAAAGCUCGUAGUUGAACUUCUGGUAGGAGUGUCCCGACCUUUUUGUUUUUACAAAUUGUAUGCUGUGUGACAUCUCUGGCCAUCCUUCUUCUUUGUUUAAAGAAGAUCUUUCACUGUAAAAAAAUUAGGGUGUUCAAAGCAAAAGUUUCUUUGGAAUAUAUUAGUAUGGGAUGAUAAGAUAGGCUCUAGAUGCUAUUUUGUUGGUUUGCACAUUUAGAGAAUGAUUAACAGGGACAGUUGGGGGUAUUCGUAUUUACAUGUCAGAGGUGAAAUUCUUGGAUUUUGGAAAGACGAACUACUGCGAAAGCAUUUACCAAGGAUGUUUUCAUUAA